Molecule: ribosomal RNA, 593 nt
Filed under: uncultured bacterium
Lineage: Bacteria
Description: bacterial SSU rRNA
Rfam family: Bacterial small subunit ribosomal RNA
Source: RNAcentral
UUGAACGCUGGCGGCAUGCCUUACACAUGCAAGUCGAACGGCAGCACGGACUUCGGUCUGGUGGCGAGUGGCGAACGGGUGAGUAAUAUAUCGGAACAUACCCUAGAGUGGGGGAUAACGUAGCGAAAGUUACGCUAAUACCGCAUACGCACUAAGGUGGAAAGUGGGGGAUCGCAAGACCUCAUGCUCAUGGAGUGGCCGAUAUCUGAUUAGCUAGUUGGUGAGGUAAAGGCUCACCAAGGCGACGAUCAGUAGCUGGUUUGAGAGAACGACCAGCCACACUGGAACUGAGACACGGUCCAGACUCCUACGGGAGGCAGCAGUGGGGAAUUUUGGACAAUGGGCGCAAGCCUGAUCCAGCAAUGCCGCGUGAGUGAAGAAGGCCUUCGGGUUGUAAAGCUCUUUUGUCAGGGAAGAAACGGUAGUCUCUAAUACAGAUUGCUAAUGACGGUACCUGAAGAAUAAGCACCGGCUAGCUACGUGCCAGCAGCCGCGGUAAUACGUAGGGUGCAAGCGUUAAUCGGAAUUACUGGGCGUAAAGCGUGCGCACGCGGUUAUAUAAGUCAGAUGUGAAAUCCCCGGGCUCAACCUGC